UACGUAGGGUGCAAGCGUUGUCCGGAAUCAUUGGGCGUAAAGAGCUCGUAGGCGGUCUGUCGCGUCGGCUGUGAAAUCCCGAGGCUCAACCUCGGGUUUGCAGUCGAUACGGGCAAACUAGAGUAUUGCAGGGGAGACUGGAAUUCCUGGUGUAGCGGUGAAAUGCGCAGAUAUCAGGAGGAACACCGGUGGCGAAGGCGGGUCUCUGGGCAAUAACUGACGCUGAGGAGCGAAAGCGUGGGGAGCGAACAGG
RNAcentral lists this ribosomal RNA (253 nucleotides) under uncultured bacterium. RNAcentral describes it as "partial 16S ribosomal RNA". It matches the Rfam family "Bacterial small subunit ribosomal RNA", at positions 524 to 776 of the family's 1533-position model. The record is from RNAcentral.